This 491-nucleotide ribosomal RNA is filed under the name uncultured bacterium. Its description in RNAcentral is "bacterial SSU rRNA". It matches the Rfam family "Bacterial small subunit ribosomal RNA", at positions 28 to 508 of the family's 1533-position model. The record is from RNAcentral.
GAUGAACGCUAGCGGCAGGCUUAAUACAUGCAAGUCGUGGGGCAGCAGGUUCCGAGCAAUCGGAAUGCUGGCGACCGGCAAACGGGUGCGGAACACGUACACAACCUUCCUUUAAGUGGGGAAUAGCCCGGGGAAACCCGGAUUAAUACCCCGUAACAUAUAGAAGUGGCAUCACUUUUAUAUUAUAGCAGCAAUGCGCUUGAAGAUGGGUGUGCGGCUGAUUAGAUAGUUGGCGGGGUAACGGCCCACCAAGUCGACGAUCAGUAACUGGUGUGAGAGCACGACCAGUCACACGGGCACUGAGACACGGGCCCGACUCCUACGGGAGGCAGCAGUAAGGAAUAUUGGUCAAUGGACGCAAGUCUGAACCAGCCAUGCCGCGUGGAGGAUGAAGGUCCUCUGGAUUGUAAACUUCUUUUAUUUGGGAAGAAAUCUAUCUUUUCUUGGAUAGUUGACGGUACCAGAUGAAUAAGCACCGGCUAACUCCGUGC